Long non-coding RNA from Hemicordylus capensis (graceful crag lizard), 2083 nucleotides. RefSeq lists it as uncharacterized. NCBI's taxonomy places the organism in Eukaryota, Metazoa, Chordata, Lepidosauria, Squamata, Cordylidae. The record is from RefSeq and is a predicted model, not a curated record. The transcript has 3 exons.
GAGAGCUGCAGGAGACAGCUCUAGGAAGACAGCUUUUGGGGUGUAGCAGGAAACAGGAAGCAAGGUCAGGAAGGAGGCGGAGCUGGAAGUAGGCUUUAAGCCCUGUCAGCUCUGCACUGGGGUAUUUAAAGACAAGGUAGCUGAUAAGGAGGAGCUACUUCUGAGUAUGGGAACCAGGAGUUCCCCAGGAGAGGGAACAGGCUGAAUGCAGCAAGCCAGGAGGAGAACUCAGGUGACAAGCUAACCUCCUCCCCUGGCUGUUCCUGAGGCUGACCUUUUUCGGGUGCUCCAGUUAUUCUGGAGUUCAAGGGCUAGGAGCCCCCCUGGGAGUCUGACAACUUGAUUGGGAAUCUUUUAAAAUAAAGGAGGGAACUUGAGUUGUGUUGAUUGAUUUGUUUGGAAAAAUGUGGUGGGGGAAAGAGAAUAUAAGGAGGUUGCCUUUAGCAGAGUUAAGUGCAGUGCAAGUUGUAGAGCUGGAGAGAGUUCAAGAGAAGGAGUUGCUGUCACAGUGUGAGAGGGAAUCAGAACUGCUGCUGGGAGAGGCAAGAGAUCACUGGGAGAGUUGUGACCCUCUGGAGGACCGAAUCACUCAUAAAGCAGCUGAAGAAACAGUAUAGGACUGAACCCCCAGAACUGAGAAGGAAGAGCAGGCCCGGAGGCUGAGCAAGGGACAAGCCAGGCUUGCUGCAGAAGCUGACUAAUGGUGAUUGCAAGAGGACUCUUGAACUCUUAAAGCAGCUGCAGGCAAGAGAAGCAGGGAACAACAGAGGGACGCAGUAAGCAUACAAAAUGGAGGCAGAGACAACAUGGCUGAUUGAGAAAUUUAAGAUCACUAUGCUGUCAGAAGAACAGUUAAAAUAAAGGAGGAAAGACAGAUGAGUUGUUGUUCCUACUCACUCCUAACUGUGGGAAAUGAUCAAUACUACAGACAAGUAGAACAUCUAGCAUGAGAAACCCUGUGAAAGUAAGCAAGCAAGAUGCCAGGGCAGAUGACCUUGCUCCUAAUGGAAUGAACUGGUUCACCAUUCCUCUAGAGUUUUAUAACACAGGGGAAUGAAACUAAUAAUCCUUGAUGAAGUGCUUGGGGACAGUUGUGGCUUCCUGCAGGGGUGAAAGGGCUAAAUUCCUUUGCACUCCUUCCUUUCACCAUUAAGAUAAAUUUGUAAACCUGUCCAAAGCUAGCAUGAAGAAUGUUCAGCCCUUCCCUGUUCACCCAUGCAUAGCUGUAAUUAAUUGAUUCCAAUAUCCAGGCACUUGGGUUAGAGGGACUAGUUGGAUGCCACAGGGUGGAACUGAUAAUGUUGUUAGCAAUUGUAAACAGGACAGCACGUGGCCUGUACUAGUUGUAAUCACUAUUACUAUGCUCUGUCUGAAGCAGGGUGGUUUGUUUUGUUGUUGGGGUUUUUGUUGUUUGUUUGUUCUGCAGGGCAAUAACUAGGAAAAUUUGCCUAGAGAUUGCCAAUUUGGGCAGUAAAAAAUGUAACAAAUAAAUAAAUGAAAUUCACUAUUGAUUUUAUAAAGGCUUCCAGGAGAUCACUUUGACUUUAUUGAAGAAAAGAGCCAACACCAUUUGAUUCAACUUUGUUUGGGCCUGUGAGAGUACUUCCUAAGUAUAUUUGGAUCAUUUAACCACCCCUGCUCCCUUUCCCAGUCAUUUGCUUGAUACUGCUGCCUCAAUUUAUUGCCUUGUCAUUGCUAGCAUUUCCAAGGAAGUAACCACUUCCAUCUUCUGCCACCACUAUUACUCUUGGCCAUGCUAAUGCUAGCCUAGGCCUGCUCAACUUAGGCCCCCCCCCAGCUGUUUUUGGACUACAGCUCCCAUAAUCCCCAGCCACAGUGGCCAAUACCCAGGGAUUAUGGGAGUUGUAGGCCAACAUCUACAGGAGGGCUGAAGUUGAGCAACCCUGUGCAAGCCACUACCAUAACAUUUUAUAUAUAGUGUGCACAUUUGAAUGGCCUCCAGUUACUGUCUGUGUGUUUUGGGCUCAGGUGAGAGUACAUAAACUCCCCAGUAUACUCUGUGUUCUGUAUAUUCCCCAAUAUGCAAACUGUACCAAAUACCCAAUAUGUAAAAUAUUCUGUG